AACGAACGCUGGCGGCAGGCCUCAUACAUGCAAGUCGAGCGAUUAAGACUCCUUCGGGAGUGUAUAAAGCGGCGAACGGGUGAGUAACAGGUGGAUGAUCUACCUUCCGGUGGGGGAUAACGGCUGGAAACGGCCGCUAAUACCGCAUUCGGUUAAUACGCUGUGGCGUAUUAAAGAAAGGCGCCUCAAAGCGCCGCCGGGAGAUGAGUCCGCCCCCCAUUAGCUAGUUGGUGAGAUAACAGCUCACCAAGGCAACGAUGGGUAGCCGAACUGAGAGGUUGAUCGGCCACACUGGAACUGAGACACGGUCCAGACACCUACGGGUGGCAGCAGUAGGGAAUAUUGGGCAAUGGGCGAAAGCCUGACCCAGCCAUGCCGCGUGAGUGAUGAAGGUCCUAGAGAUUGUAAAACUCUUUCUGUAGGAAGAAUGAAUAGGGAAGGAAAGUGUCCUAUUUGACGGUACCUCAGGAAUAAGGAACGGCUAACUCCGUGCCAGCAGCCGCGGUAAACUCG
This 513-nucleotide ribosomal RNA is filed under the name uncultured bacterium. RNAcentral's name for it is "bacterial SSU rRNA". It matches the Rfam family "Bacterial small subunit ribosomal RNA", at positions 29 to 527 of the family's 1533-position model. The record is from RNAcentral.